RNAcentral lists this ribosomal RNA (253 nucleotides) under uncultured bacterium. RNAcentral describes it as "partial 16S ribosomal RNA". It matches the Rfam family "Bacterial small subunit ribosomal RNA", at positions 524 to 776 of the family's 1533-position model. The record is from RNAcentral.
UACGGAGGGGGCUAGCGUUGUUCGGAAUUACUGGGCGUAAAGCGCGCGUAGGCGGAUUUGCAAGUCGGGGGUGAAAGCCCGAGGCUCAACCUCGGAACUGCCUUCGAUACUGCAAAUCUCGAGUCCGAGAGAGGUGAGUGGAAUUCCUAGUGUAGAGGUGAAAUUCGUAGAUAUUAGGAAGAACACCAGUGGCGAAGGCGGCUCACUGGCUCGGUACUGACGCUGAGGCGCGAAAGCGUGGGGAGCAAACAGG